CGAACGCUGGCGGCGUGCCUAACACAUGCAAGUCGAGCGGAGUUUAAGUUUUCGGAUUUAAACUUAGCGGCGGACGGGUGAGUAACACGUGGGUAACCUGCCUUAUAGAGGGGGAUAGCCUUCCGAAAGGAAGAUUAAUACCGCAUAACAUAUUUUUUAGGCAUCUAGGAAAUAUCAAAGGAGCAAUCCGCUAUAAGAUGGGCCCGCGGCGCAUUAGCUAGUUGGAGGGGUAACGGCCCACCAAGGCGACGAUGCGUAGCCGACCUGAGAGGGUGAUCGGCCACAUUGGAACUGAGACACGGUCCAGACUCCUACGGGAGGCAGCAGUGGGGAAUAUUGCACAAUGGAGGAAACUCUGAUGCAGCAACGCCGCGUGAGUGAUGAAGGUCUUCGGAUCGUAAAGCUCUUUGAUUGGGGACGAUAAUG
RNAcentral lists this ribosomal RNA (426 nucleotides) under uncultured bacterium. RNAcentral's name for it is "bacterial SSU rRNA". It matches the Rfam family "Bacterial small subunit ribosomal RNA", at positions 30 to 453 of the family's 1533-position model. The record is from RNAcentral.